CAUUAGCUUGUUGGCGGGGUAACGGCCCACCAAGGCAUCGAUGGAUAGGGGUUCUGAGAGGAAGGUCCCCCACAUUGGAACUGAGACACGGUCCAAACUCCUACGGGAGGCAGCAGUGAGGAAUAUUGGUCAAUGGGCGCUAGCCUGAACCAGCCAAGUAGCGUGAAGGAUGACUGCCCUAUGGGUUGUAAACUUCUUUUAUAUGGGAAUAAAGUGCAGUAUGUAUACUGCUUUGCAUGUACCUUAUGAAUAAGGAUCGGCUAACUCCGUGCCAGCAGCCGCGGUAAUACGGAGGAUCCGAGCGUUAUCCGGAUUUAUUGGGUUUAAAGGGAGCGUAGGCGGGUUGUUAAGUCAGUUGUGAAAGUUUGCGGCUCAACCGUAAAAUUGCAGUUGAUACUGGCAUCCUUGAGUACAGUAGAGGUAGGCGGAAUUCGUGGUGUAGCGGUGAAAUGCUUAGAUAUCACGAAGAACUCCGAUUGCGAAGGCAGCCUGCUGGACUGUAACUGACGCUGAUGCUCGAAAGUGUGGGUAUCAAACAGGAUUAGAUACCCUGGUAGUCCACACAGUAAACGAUGAAUACUCGCUGUUUGCGAUAUACAGUAA
RNAcentral lists this ribosomal RNA (603 nucleotides) under uncultured bacterium. RNAcentral describes it as "bacterial SSU rRNA". It matches the Rfam family "Bacterial small subunit ribosomal RNA", at positions 239 to 842 of the family's 1533-position model. The record is from RNAcentral.